This 492-nucleotide ribosomal RNA is filed under the name uncultured bacterium. RNAcentral describes it as "partial 16S ribosomal RNA". It matches the Rfam family "Bacterial small subunit ribosomal RNA", at positions 29 to 507 of the family's 1533-position model. The record is from RNAcentral.
AGUGAACGCUGGCGGUAGGCCUAACACAUGCAAGUCGAACGGCAGCACAGUAAGAGCUUGCUCUUACGGGUGGCGAGUGGCGGACGGGUGAGGAAUACAUCGGAAUCUACUUUUUCGUGGGGGAUAACGUAGGGAAACUUACGCUAAUACCGCAUACGACCUACGGGUGAAAGCAUGGGAUCUUCGGACCUUGCGCGAAUGAAUGAGCCGAUGUGGGAUUUGCUAGUUGGCGGGGUAAAGGCCCACCAAGGCGACGAUCCGUAGCUGGUCUGAGUGGCUGGUAAGCCACACGGGAACUGAGACACGCUCCAUACUCCUACGGGAGGCAGCAGUGGGGAAUAUUGGACAAUGGGCGCAAGCCUGAUCCAGCCAUACCGCGUGGGUGAAGAAGGCCUUCGGGUUGUAAAGCCCUUUUGUUGGGAAAGAAAAGCAGCAGGUUAAUACCCCGCUGUUCUGACGGUACCCAAAGAAUAAGCACCGGCUAACUUCGUG